UACAGAGGGGGCAAGCGUUGUUCGGAAUUACUGGGCGUAAAGGGCGCGUAGGCGGCCUGUUAAGUCGAGCGUGAAAUCCCCGGGCUCAACCCGGGAACUGCGUCCGAUACUGGCAGGCUUGAAUCCGGGAGAGGGAUGCGGAAUUCCAGGUGUAGCGGUGAAAUGCGUAGAUAUCUGGAGGAACACCGGUGGCGAAGGCGGCAUCCUGGACCGGCAUUGACGCUGAGGCGCGAAAGCCAGGGGAGCAAACAGG
Molecule: ribosomal RNA, 253 nt
Filed under: uncultured bacterium
Lineage: Bacteria
Description: partial 16S ribosomal RNA
Rfam family: Bacterial small subunit ribosomal RNA
Source: RNAcentral